CACGGCUGCGGGGGGGCGUCCAGCUGACUGUAGCAGAGUUUUCUGUGAUGUCCGAGAAAGAGAUUCCCUUGGGAGAUCCCACAACUGUGGUUGCUACUGAAUUUAUGGGUUGGGAGCGCCGUCCACUGCUAACUCCAUAGAGCUCAAUUUCAUACUCAGUGCCCUCUUUCAGCCCUGUUAUAUCAUGGGUGCGCUCAUGGCCUGGUACUAUGAGUUCCAGUGGAUCAGAUUUC
Molecule: long non-coding RNA, 233 nt
Filed under: Gallus gallus (chicken)
Lineage: Eukaryota; Metazoa; Chordata; Aves; Galliformes; Phasianidae
Source: RNAcentral